RNAcentral lists this long non-coding RNA (492 nucleotides) under Hordeum vulgare. Its description in RNAcentral is "long non-coding RNA (HVUL_LNC008127)". The record is from RNAcentral. Lineage: Eukaryota; Viridiplantae; Streptophyta; Magnoliopsida; Poales; Poaceae.
UAUUGCAACCAUCCAUUCCUCUCGUAGUCGUUGCUUCUGUACAGUUAGUCGUACUCAAUGUCUUUGGUGCCAAAAUGACAUCAGCUAAUGUAUCUUGUUGUUUUCGUGGAUCAGCAGAAAGGACUUCUGUGUGCUACCAGAACUAAAGCAACAUUUAUGUAAAAUGGGGUAAAUGUUCAAAUUUUGCGACGUAUAGAGUGGAAUGAACAAACAUUUUUGUAAAUCUUGACUCACAUUUUCCAUGCAGUACAUACAUCCCACUUUACCCAACUAACUUACUUUGCUCAAUCGUGAUUACUUAAUAUCUACUUGUCUGGACUCUCUUCGUGUUCUUUUCUGCUGCUAAAUAUCCCCACAUGUUUUAAAAAGUUGACACCUGUUAAAUUAACAUAGUUUCAAGAUGCAAUUUUAGUGUAUAAUUCCAAACAAAAUUACAAAAUCAUGAAAACAAAAAAAAACCAUACUUUAGUUUCCAUCCGAUUCCAAGAUUUC